AGGGAAUCUUCGGCAAUGGACGGAAGUCUGACCGAGCAACGCCGCGUGAGUGAAGAAGGUUUUCGGAUCGUAAAGCUCUGUUGUAAGAGAAGAACGAGUGUGAGAGUGGAAAGUUCACACUGUGACGGUAUCUUACCAGAAAGGGACGGCUAACUACGUGCCAGCAGCCGCGGUAAUACGUAGGUCCCGAGCGUUGUCCGGAUUUAUUGGGCGUAAAGCGAGCGCAGGCGGUUAGAUAAGUCUGAAGUUAAAGGCUGUGGCUUAACCAUAGUACGCUUUGGAAACUGUUUAACUUGAGUGCAAGAGGGGAGAGUGGAAUUCCAUGUGUAGCGGUGAAAUGCGUAGAUAUAUGGAGGAACACCGGUGGCGAAAGCGGCUCUCUGGCUUGUAACUGACGCUGAGGCUCGAAAGCGUGGGGAGCAAACAGGAUUAGAUACCCUGGUAGUCCACGCCGUAAACGAUGAGUGCUAGGUGUUAGACCCUUUCCGGGGUUUAGUGCCGUAGCUAACGCAUUAAGCACUCCGCCUGGAGAGUACGACCGCAAGGUUG
This 549-nucleotide ribosomal RNA is filed under the name uncultured bacterium. RNAcentral describes it as "bacterial SSU rRNA". It matches the Rfam family "Bacterial small subunit ribosomal RNA", at positions 356 to 896 of the family's 1533-position model. The record is from RNAcentral.